This 468-nucleotide ribosomal RNA is filed under the name uncultured bacterium. RNAcentral's name for it is "partial 16S ribosomal RNA". It matches the Rfam family "Bacterial small subunit ribosomal RNA", at positions 28 to 507 of the family's 1533-position model. The record is from RNAcentral.
GACGAACGCUGGCGGCGUGCUUAACACAUGCAAGUCGAACGGAAAGGCCCUGCUUUUGUGGGGUGCUCGAGUGGCGAACGGGUGAGUAACACGUGAGUAACCUGCCCUUGACUUUGGGAUAACUUCAGGAAACUGGGUCUAAUACCGGAUAGGAGCUCCUGCUGCAUGGUGGGGGUUGGAAAGUUUCGGCGGUUGGGGAUGGACUCGCGGCUUAUCAGCUUGUUGGUGGGGUAGUGGCUUACCAAGGCUUUGACGGGUAGCCGGCCUGAGAGGGUGACCGGCCACAUUGGGACUGAGAUACGGCCCAGACUCCUACGGGAGGCAGAAGUGGGGAAUAUUGCACAAUGGGCGGAAGCCUGAUGCAGCAACGCCGCGUGCGGGAUGACGGCCUUCGGGUUGUAAACCGCUUUCGCCUGUGACGAAGAGUGAGUGACGGUAAUGGGUAAAGAAGCACCGGCUAACUACGUG